GUCUUGGGCUUGGAUAAAUAUCCUCAUUCUAGCCUUCCAAUAGGUAUAGUUAGCUCCAUUGAAAAAUGGAGACCUAUUGGUGGAUUGCCCCUCACUAAGGGAAGAUCCAAAAGGGGUUGUCAUUUUAAUCUUUUACUCUUUUGGGGAUUGAAACACCAAUCGAUAUAAGAGCACCCGCUCUGAUACCACUUGUUGCCUAAGG
Molecule: long non-coding RNA, 202 nt
Filed under: Phoenix dactylifera (date palm)
Lineage: Eukaryota; Viridiplantae; Streptophyta; Magnoliopsida; Arecales; Arecaceae
Description: long non-coding RNA (PDAC_LNC008149)
Source: RNAcentral